This 218-nucleotide ribosomal RNA is filed under the name Saprospiraceae bacterium. Its description in RNAcentral is "partial 23S ribosomal RNA". It matches the Rfam family "Bacterial large subunit ribosomal RNA", at positions 1 to 166 of the family's 2925-position model. The record is from RNAcentral. Lineage: Bacteria; Pseudomonadati; Bacteroidota; Saprospiria; Saprospirales; Saprospiraceae.
GAUCAAGUGUCUUAAGGGCAAUUGGUGGAUGCCUUGGCAUGCACAGGCGAUGAAGGACGUGAUACGCUGCGAUAAGCUACGGGGAGGUGCGAAUACCCUUUGAUCCGUAGAUUUCCGAAUGGGGAAACCCACCUUAGAUACUUGGAAAAUCAGAGCAGCAGGGCAACUUGCUGCUGUGGUUUCCAAGUAUCGUUAAAAGGUAUCUUAUCCUGAAUACA